This is a long non-coding RNA of Neofelis nebulosa (Clouded leopard), 2339 nucleotides long. RefSeq lists it as uncharacterized. NCBI's taxonomy places the organism in Eukaryota, Metazoa, Chordata, Mammalia, Carnivora, Felidae. The transcript is spliced from 2 exons. The record is from RefSeq and is a predicted model, not a curated record.
GAGAGAGAGAGAGAGAGAAAGCAUGAGCUGGGGAUGGGCAGAGAGAGAGGGAGACGCAGAAUCCCAAGUAGGCUCCAGGCUCUGAGCUGUUAACACAGACCCCGAUGCGGGGCUUGAACUCACGAACCAUAAGAUCUUGACCUGAGCCAAAGCUGGACGCUCAACCCACUGAGCCACCCAGGUGCCCCUAAAAUGCCUUUUAAAAAUGGAUUCAGGGGGCGCCUGGCUGGCUCAGCCAAUAGAGCGUGGAAUUCUUAAUCUCAAGGUCAUGGGUUCGAGCCCCACAUGGGUAUAGAGAUUACUUAAAUAAAUAAAACUGAAAAACAAACAAACUUUAAAAAAAAGAACUGGAUGGGGGGUGCAUGCGUGGCUCAGUCGGUUAAGCGUCCAGCUUCGGCUCAGGUCAUGAUCUCACAGUUUAUGAGUUUGAGCCCCUCAUGAGGUUCCACACUGACAAUGUGGAGCCUGCUUGCGAUUGUCUCUCUCCUUCUCUCUCUCUGCCCCUCCCCUGCUGGUGCACUCUCUCCCUCUCUCUCAAAUAAAUAAAAAAAAAAAUUUUAAUAAAUAAAAAUUAAAAGAACUGAAAGACUUUAAAAAAAUUGGUUCAAAGUCAAAUUUAUUAAUAGACCAAAGAAACCAAAUCCUCACUGUGUCAUUUUUCUCCUGAAAACCCCUCGGUGACGGCCCACAACACCUUCAAGUUUAGAUUCCUUAGCAGAGCUCACAAAGCCCUUCAGCAUCUGCCCCACCUAGCCCCCACAGCCUCACCCCUUCCCACUUUGCACUCUGCGCUCCAGCUGAGCGGAACGUCUCUGACCUUCCUGCAGUUCCUUGAAAGCACCAUUUCCUCUUUUGCCUUGCAGGUUUUACACAGGCGGCUGCUCACAACACUCUAUUCAUCAUUCAGGUCUCCGCUUAGAUAUUGUUUCCUCCAGGAAGUCUUCCGUGGUCCAUAAAGUUGGGGUUUGACGCCUCUUCUGUGAAUUCCCAUAGCACCCUAGACUUGACUAGCACUGUGCUCAUCAUGCUGUGUUGUGAUUACCUGGGGUUUCCCCUCGCCCUCCCACUAGAACAUACCCUUCCAAAGGAACAGGAACCAAAUCUGCAUUGCUCACUGCUGCUUCCCUAGCACCUUUGCAAAGAAUGUCUCACAUGGGUGUAGGCAGGCCGCCAUCCCUCAGAUUGAUUGACUGAUAAACCCUCCAGAAGGCAGGGACAAGAUCAGUGCUCAAACCUACAGCUCAAGCUCUCAACUCCUGUCUGAAUGUCAGGACCACAUCUCCAAAUGCUUACCGGAUAUCUUCUGCUUGAAGUAAAUGCGUUCAAAACUGAGUUUAUUACCUUCUUGUAAUAAACAGAGAAAAUCAUGCUCACCGAGUAUUCUAUGUGCUCCCCUCUACUUUCCAAACUUCUGUAGUUAGGAGAGGCCAUAAGACUGGUUCUGGCCGAUGAAAUGUGCAUGGAAGCAACGUACAUCAUGUCUGGGCUGGGGUAAUAAAAAGCCCUGUACACAAUUCUCUAGUGUCUCUCUCUCCUCCUGUCAUGUAACUGAGGAUGUGACUAAAGGAGCCAUGUGUUGUAGGUGGUGUGGCUACAAGAUGGUGGAGCUUGGAUCCCCGAGUGACUGUAUGGAGUCGAGACCCCUGUGGACCACACAGGACCUAUAGUAGGAUUGAGGAAACAAAACAAAUCUUUGUUUUGUUAAGCCAAUGAGAUUUCGAAGUUAUUAAUUACUGCAGGAUAAUCUACAUGAUCCUCACAGAUUCUCUACUCUCAGAUCUGCAUCUUAUCUUUAUUCCUUCCAUUGGUGAAUGAUGGCUCACCCAUCCAAUUAUCCCAGCUGGUAACCUCAAGCUGCUUCCUCCUUCACUUUCCUUUCGAUUUGACAGACAGUGCUUGGGCUAGGCCUCAUCAGACCCCUCUCUUGGAUCAGAAUCAGCAUCCUGCCUGAUUUCUCUGACUUUAGACUCCUCUUUCCAGCCAUCCUCCUUAUUGCCUCCAGAGUUCUCUUUCUAAAACACAAAUCUGAUCACAGUACUCACUGAGCUUAAACACCUCUACCUGUUAUUUCCUGUAGGAUAAAAACGAAAAAUCUGAGGCUGGCACCAAGUACCUUGAUUAGUCAACCUACCUUGCCAGUCUCCCCUGCCACCUAGUACUCUUGAGAUCUAGCCACAUUGGGAGCAUCUGGGUGGCUAAGUCAGUUGAGUGUCCGACUUUGGCUCAGGUCAUGAUCUCAUGGUUCAUGAGUUUGAGCCCCACAUAGGGCUCACUGGUGUUAGUACAGAGCCCACUGCGGAUCUUCUGUCCCCCUCUCUCUGCCUCUCUCUCUCUCUCUC